This 1477-nucleotide ribosomal RNA is filed under the name Staphylococcus haemolyticus. RNAcentral's name for it is "bacterial SSU rRNA". It matches the Rfam family "Bacterial small subunit ribosomal RNA". Lineage: Bacteria; Bacillati; Bacillota; Bacilli; Caryophanales; Staphylococcaceae. The record is from RNAcentral.
GAACGCUGGCGGCGUGCCUAAUACAUGCAAGUCGAGCGAACAGACAAGGAGCUUGCUCCUAUGACCUUAGCGGCGGACGGGUGAGUAACACGUGGGUAACCUACCUAUAAGACUGGGAUAACUUCGGGAAACCGGAGUUAAUACUGGAUAAUAUUUCGAACCGCAUGGUUCGAUAUUGAAAGAUGGUUUUGCUAUCACUUAUAGAUGGACCCGCGCCGUAUUAGCUAGUUGGUAAGGUAACGGCUUACCAAGGCGACGAUACGUAGCCGACCUGAGAGGGUGAUCGGCCACACUGGAACUGAGACACGGUCCAGACUCCUACGGGAGGCAGCAGUAGGGAAUCUUCCGCAAUGGGCGAAAGCCUGACGGAGCAACGCCGCGUGAGUGAUGAAGGUCUUCGGAUCGUAAAACUCUGUUAUUAGGGAAGAACAUACGUGUAAGUAACUAUGCACGUCUUGACGGUACCUAAUCAGAAAGCCACGGCUAACUACGUGCCAGCAGCCGCGGUAAUACGUAGGUGGCAAGCGUUAUCCGGAAUUAUUGGGCGUAAAGCGCGCGUAGGCGGUUUUUUAAGUCUGAUGUGAAAGCCCACGGCUCAACCGUGGAGGGUCAUUGGAAACUGGAAAACUUGAGUGCAGAAGAGGAAAGUGGAAUUCCAUGUGUAGCGGUGAAAUGCGCAGAGAUAUGGAGGAACACCAGUGGCGAAGGCGACUUUCUGGUCUGUAACUGACGCUGAUGUGCGAAAGCGUGGGGAUCAAACAGGAUUAGAUACCCUGGUAGUCCACGCCGUAAACGAUGAGUGCUAAGUGUUAGGGGGUUUCCGCCCCUUAGUGCUGCAGCUAACGCAUUAAGCACUCCGCCUGGGGAGUACGACCGCAAGGUUGAAACUCAAAGGAAUUGACGGGGACCCGCACAAGCGGUGGAGCAUGUGGUUUAAUUCGAAGCAACGCGAAGAACCUUACCAAAUCUUGACAUCCUUUGACAACUCUAGAGAUAGAGCCUUCCCCUUCGGGGGACAAAGUGACAGGUGGUGCAUGGUUGUCGUCAGCUCGUGUCGUGAGAUGUUGGGUUAAGUCCCGCAACGAGCGCAACCCUUAAGCUUAGUUGCCAUCAUUAAGUUGGGCACUCUAAGUUGACUGCCGGUGACAAACCGGAGGAAGGUGGGGAUGACGUCAAAUCAUCAUGCCCCUUAUGAUUUGGGCUACACACGUGCUACAAUGGACAAUACAAAGGGCAGCGAAACCGCGAGGUCAAGCAAAUCCCAUAAAGUUGUUCUCAGUUCGGAUUGUAGUCUGCAACUCGACUACAUGAAGCUGGAAUCGCUAGUAAUCGUAGAUCAGCAUGCUACGGUGAAUACGUUCCCGGGUCUUGUACACACCGCCCGUCACACCACGAGAGUUUGUAACACCCGAAGCCGGUGGAGUAACCAUUUGGAGCUAGCCGUCGAAGGUGGGACAAAUGAUUGGGGUGAAGUCGU